RNAcentral lists this ribosomal RNA (228 nucleotides) under uncultured bacterium. RNAcentral's name for it is "partial 16S ribosomal RNA". It matches the Rfam family "Bacterial small subunit ribosomal RNA", at positions 15 to 231 of the family's 1533-position model. The record is from RNAcentral.
GAUCCUGGCUCAGGAUGAACGCUAGCUACAGGCUUAACACAUGCAAGUCGAGGGGCAGCAUGGUCUUAGCUUGCUAAGGCCGAUGGCGACCGGCGCACGGGUGAGUAACACGUAUCCAACCUGCCGUCUACUCUUGGACAGCCUUCUAGAAAGGAAGAUUAAUACAAGAUGGCAUCAUGAGUCCGCAUGUUCACAUGAAUUAAAGGUAUUCCGGUAGACGAGUGGGGA